CAGCCGUCCAUAGUCGAGACUAGCAUCUACACCAGCAUCAUACAGUACACAUACGAAAAAAGUGGCAUCUUUUGAUCCAUUCUAUGCGAACAUUACAAUAACAGCUAGUCAUCUUGGUAAGGCGGUGAUGUUUGAGUUCUCCACUAUUGCUAAAGGUCUUGGGGAAGCUGAUGUGAAUGGCAUGAUGAAACCUGUUC
RNAcentral lists this small RNA (197 nucleotides) under Theobroma cacao (cacao). RNAcentral's name for it is "sRNA Tc02v2_g015060". The record is from RNAcentral. Lineage: Eukaryota; Viridiplantae; Streptophyta; Magnoliopsida; Malvales; Malvaceae.